This 463-nucleotide ribosomal RNA is filed under the name uncultured soil bacterium. RNAcentral's name for it is "bacterial SSU rRNA". It matches the Rfam family "Bacterial small subunit ribosomal RNA", at positions 26 to 526 of the family's 1533-position model. The record is from RNAcentral.
AGAGCGAACGCUGGCGGCAGGCCUAACACAUGCAAGUCGAACGGACUCUUCGGAGUUAGUGGCGGACGGGUGAGUAACACGUGGGAACGUGCCUUUAGGUUCGGAAUAGCUCCUGGAAACGGGUGGUAAUACCGAAUGUGCCCUUCGGGGGAAAGAUUUAUCGCCUUUAGAGCGGCCCGCGUCUGAUUAGCUUGUUGGUGAGGUAAUGGCUCACCAAGGCUACGAUCAGUAGCUGGUCUGAGAGGAUGACCAGCCACAUUGGGACUGAGACACGGCCCAAACUCCUACGGGAGGCAGCAGUGGGGAAUCUUGCGCAAUGGGCGAAAGCCUGACGCAGCCAUGCCGCGUGUAUGAUGAAGGUCUUAGGAUUAGUAAAAUACUUUCACCGGUUGAAGUAUAAUGACUGUAAGCCGGAAGAAAGAACGGCCCCGGACUAAACCUUCGUACGCCGAAGCAGCCCGAC